GCCUAAAUUAAUGGUAUAGUGGCGUUGGACUCCAGAUCGGUGGUCUGGGUUCAAGCCCUAGCUGAUGCA
Desmophyllum pertusum is the source of this 69-nucleotide non-coding RNA. The record is from the annotation of a GenBank genome assembly. NCBI's taxonomy places the organism in Eukaryota, Metazoa, Cnidaria, Anthozoa, Scleractinia, Caryophylliidae.